UUCUAAAGUAACUUUGUGAUUGAGGGGGAUCUGUUGGCAGAAAUGGAAUAUAAUAUUAAUAAGUAUGGUUUCUUUAGUGUACAAUUACUUGAAAAUA
Sebastes umbrosus (honeycomb rockfish) is the source of this 97-nucleotide long non-coding RNA. RefSeq lists it as uncharacterized. The transcript is spliced from 4 exons. The record is from RefSeq and is a predicted model, not a curated record. NCBI's taxonomy places the organism in Eukaryota, Metazoa, Chordata, Actinopteri, Perciformes, Sebastidae.